UACGUAUGGUGCAAGCGUUAUCCGGAUUUACUGGGCGUAAAGGGAGCGCAGGCGGCCUGGCAAGCCAGAAGUGAAAACCCGGGGCUCAACCCCGCGGAUUGCUUUUGGAACUGUUGGGCUAGAGUGUCGGAGGGGUAAGUGGAAUUCCUAGUGUAGCGGUGAAAUGCGUAGAUAUUAGGAGGAACACCAGUGGCGAAGGCGGCUUACUGGACGAUAACUGACGCUGAGGCUCGAAGGCGUGGGGA
This 245-nucleotide ribosomal RNA is filed under the name uncultured Lachnospiraceae bacterium. RNAcentral describes it as "partial 16S ribosomal RNA". It matches the Rfam family "Bacterial small subunit ribosomal RNA", at positions 524 to 767 of the family's 1533-position model. Lineage: Bacteria; Bacillati; Bacillota; Clostridia; Lachnospirales; Lachnospiraceae. The record is from RNAcentral.